GAUGAAGAACGUAGCGAAAUGCAAUAAGUAAUGUGAAUUGCAGAAUUCAGUGAAUCAUCGAAUCUUUGAACGCACAUUGCGCCCGCCAGUAUUCUGGCGGGCAUGCCUGUUCGAGCGUCAUUUCAACCAUCAAGCCCCCGGGCUUGUGUUGGGGACCUGCGGCUGCCGCAGGCCCUGAAAACCAGUGGCGGGCUCGCUAGUCACUCCGAGCGUAGUAGUUACAUCUCGCUCAGGGCGUGCUGCGGGUUCCGGCCGUUAAAAGCCUUUUACCCCAAGGUUGACCUCGGAUCAGGUAGGAAGACCCGCUGAACUUAAGCAUAUCAAUAAGCGGAGGA
Molecule: unclassified non-coding RNA, 335 nt
Filed under: soil metagenome
Description: partial contains 5.8S ribosomal RNA, internal transcribed spacer 2, and large subunit ribosomal RNA
Rfam family: 5.8S ribosomal RNA (bases 1-120)
Source: RNAcentral